CUGAGAUUCCUUGUUUUCUUAAAAAUCCAUGCAAAUUUGCAUUCUUCUUUUUAAUGCUUUUGUUUUUCCUUUUCAAAUUAAAAGCUUCCGCUCUCAGCCUUCUGCCUCUGUGGGGGCUCCAGGAAGAUGCACCAUGGCUACAUCCAGUGGCUGUGUAUAUCCUGGGUCCCCACCUUGGACCUCUGGACGCUUUGCCUGGCUUGAGAGACAUGCACUGACAGGGCCAUGAAAUGCUCUGCUCUCUUCUCUUUUCCUUGCUGUCCCCGGGGCUGGAGGAGCACAGGCUUCCCUGGCCACUGGGCUUCUGCCUCGCUGGCCCCCCAUCUCCCUCGAAGGGCUGAGCCCUGUGGGGGCCAGAAACAGGAGCAGGCCUGGCUCAGGCCAGUCUGGUAAUCAGGAUGGGAACCCAAAAGAAGGCGUGAGGAGGCCUGAAGCCUGGGACACUCCGGGCUCCUCAGGCGACCACUGGUCAUGGCCUGAGGCCCGGCCCGGACAGGCGCCGGCCUGCUACUGCCGAUGUGGAAACAGGGGCAGCUGCAGCCCGGGUGGCUCCAGGCUGGGUGCCCCGACCCUGCCCAGAGGGGCCAAGUGGGCCCACCGCCCCCAGGCCUCAGACAGGGGCUGGCCUGCGAUGCCACCCACCUCCCCAGGCCCCCACCCUUCCCCAGCAGCUUCCCGCCAAAAGCAAGGGGCCAGGUAGGGCUGUUGCUCGAGGCCGAGCAGAUGGUCCCGGAGGUCAGAGGUCCAAGGUGGGAGCUCUGGACUGGGGGUCAGGCAUGUGGCUCUGGUCUCAGCUCAGUCCUUAGCCCGCCGAGUGCCGUUGGCCGUCUCGGCCCCACCGCAGGCCUUGGUUUCCUCCUUUGUGCAGCUAUCACAGCAUCCAGGAGCUAAAGUUCUUUGCCUAUUUCUGGCCCAACAGUGAUGUCUGUUGAUCUUUACAUCCCAAGAGCCUCAGCUUUGGGGACGGUGAGCCCUGAGGCUGGGACACUCACUGGUGGGAGUUGGUUUCGGCCUUGAAGAGAGGGGAGCCGGAGAGGCCGAGGGGAAAAGGAAAUCUCGCCAGGUGGGGAACCAGCCCGGAACAAGGCUGGGACACUGGAAGGCCGGGACUGAGUUGGGCAGACAGCUGGCACAGAUGGAAGAGUAGAGGGCGACAGGGUUGAUCCCCCAAGACCCAAAAGUGGGAAAAGGAUUUUAGGAACCUUGUUACCAUGAACCUUAGGACAGGGCCUGGCACCCCCCUCGCAUUCUUCUUUAGAAGAAAGGCAAGUGGUUCUUUGGAGGGUGGGGGCGGAGUCACCCUUCCAUCUGCCAAAGAGCUAGGGGCCAUGAGGUGUGAUGCAGGAGCCUCAGGACAGACCCCCCAAAUUGUCCAUCUGGGAGGCUGCCUGGAAUUCCACCUUUAGGGCCAGACCUUACAGUUCGGCAUUGCCCUCUUCCCGAAUAUGUUUUGUUUUGCUUUUAAGCUGAUAUUGCAAGAAGGGGAGGGGAGAUGACUUUGCUUCUUGUUGAGUUUGCUGACAGUGUUUGACCUCUGGAGAAAGGGUUUCUUUACAGGAAGACUGAGCCCCAAGCCCCCUGGGAACUGACCAGUCCACUGACUAAGUCCAGUCACCCUGUGGCCCAGGAAGCCCUGAGGCCUCCUCAUCCCCCUACCAAGAGUUCCCCCUAAAUCUCAAGGCCUGCCCAUCGCAGACAGCACAGGGACAGUGCAGCAACUGGGCCCAGCCGAAGAGGCACUGGGGAAUCCCAGGGUGCCUGGGCCCAGGCAGAGGGGCCAUCGACCAGCCCACCCCCACCAUGCCAUCAUCUGAGUGCUGAGUUGGCAGCUCAGCAGCUGCUUCUGGCCAUACAGGACCAGUUAUAAAUAAGCCCAAUUUGGCCAAGUCAUCAAGUUCUGUAGCUGCUCUCGCCCAGCUGCAUUACCUCAGUGACCACAGGUUGGGGCUGCCCAGAGCUGGGCCCACCAGAAUACACCUCCUGGGGUCCUCCAGUCCAGGAUGCGAGCAUCCCUAACUCCUCAGACCUGAGCCCACCUGGACACGGGUCUGAGGCGGCAGGGCCCACCCCGCCUGCACUGAGCCAGAGGCUAUUUACAAACCGAAACCGGGAGGAGCCAAGUGGCUGUGGCCAAAGUGGCUCCAGGCCCCCAGCCCCCACUCCUAGUCCAUCCCCAGCAGCCCCAACCCCCCUCUCCCCUUGGCUUCCUCUUUCCUUCCCCACACAGCUCCCCAACCUCCCACUGCCUGGCCAGCUCUCCCUGGAUGACCAGCAAGCACUUCGUCACGAUACCCAACCCCAUAGCCACCUGCCUGUGGUCCCCUUCUCCUCUUCACCCUCACGACCCCGUCAGCCUGGGCUCCAAGGAGCCGCCCCCUCCCAAUGGGGCCCAGCCCACGCGGUCCUGCUCAGAGCCCAUUCCCACAGGCCUUUUCUCAGUUCCCCUUCCUGCUUGGAAAAGUUCCAGCACCAAUGGCUGCUGCAAGGCUGCUGGUCCCUGCCUGAGGGAGGGGAGGGUCUCUGGGCUCCUUUGACCUUCAAGGCGAAUGUGGGGUGGGGGGCGAAGACACCAGGCACUACGGUGGAACUGGGAGCAACUGAAGCCCUUGGGGUCGUGGUUCUGGACAGGAAGCCCUGGUCAUCGCUCUCCUCAAGUUGGGAUUUGGCCCACCCAUCUGGCUGCCGUGGGUCAGAGGCUGUCACGCAGGACAGAGCUGAGCUGGGACAGAUGGACGCUGGGCCCGAGACCUUAGCUUCAACACUGCGUAGGAACUGGUAGGCAGGAUGGCACUGCAGCAGACUCCUGCUCCAAGGAAAGACAGCAGAGUGAUGUAAUAAUAAUCAUUAUUAAUGAUAAGGAAACCCCCUCACGUUGGUACAGAGGCUGAUGGUUUACAUCAGUCAGCUCAUUCUCUUCUCAGAACAGCCUGUUCCAUUAUCUCCAAUAUAAAGAGGAAACUGAGGCUCAGGGGAAGCCACAUAUCUGAGGCUACACAACUAGUAGUGCCUGGACUGAGAUUCUAGAUUUUCUGACACCCAAACCCCUUCUCUCUCCAUCUGACUGCCCCUUGUGCCAUCUCAUUGCUCAGUCCCCCUCCUGGAAGGGUGGAAGUUUCCUAGAGCUGUGACAAGGGCAGGAGCAGGGCUGGCCUGAGGCUUCAGGGGGAAGCAGGCCUUGGAAGGCUCUGUCCACCCUUUUCUUUCCCUCCCACCAAGUCCCCACUGAGGAAGAAGAAGCCUGGCCUGAGCCUUGCUCAGCCACAGCCAGCCAGUGGCGUUGAAAUUCACCUAAUCUCUCUAAGCCUCAGAUUCCUCCUCGGGGAAAUUGUCAUUCCCCAGACAUCUGAGCACUUGCUGGGUGUCAGGCCCUGUGCUGGGAGCAGACUGUCUCUCCUGCUAGGACACUGCUCUGCCCUUGGGGAGUCCACAGUGCAUGGGGAAGGCAGAUGAGUUACAAAAUUUUGAGAGCUCCAAGAGGGAAACUGAGGCUGUGGGACAUUGAGAAGAAGGGAUAAGUGCUGCUUGGAGUGGGGAAGGAGGUGCUGCUUGGAAUAGGACAAGAAGAACAGGAAAGAGUUUACCAACAAAAGCAGGCGGACGGUCUCCCCAUACUGAAUCACACCCCCACGCCUUGGCUUCAGCAGUUCCCACUGCCCGGAGCGCCUUUCCUCCCUCUGGGCCUGGUGAACUCCUACCCAUCCGUCACGACCCAUGGACCCGACAUGAGCAGGUCUGGCCUGGUGGCUCCUCAUCUCCCUGAGCAGACCAGGAGGCUGCAAUCCCCUCACCAGCCCCUCCCAGGCAGGCGUGGGCUCCUGGGCUCUAGCCCCCGCUGUCCCCUGCUCCGAAAAGCACCGUUUCCCUUUUCUGGGUGACCACACACCAUGCACAGGGAAUUUCCAUCGCAGCCUGUGGAGCCUCUGAUUCACUCAGGCCCCUCACGCAGUUAACUCCUUCUGGGCCUCCUGCUCCCGUAUGCUGAUCUGCUCCCACCUCCAACCCGGGACCCCUGGGCAGCUCUGCACCAGCCUGAGGCCCCACAGUCUCCAAGUUGAAGCCAGCC
Choloepus didactylus (southern two-toed sloth) is the source of this 4063-nucleotide long non-coding RNA. RefSeq lists it as uncharacterized. The transcript is spliced from 4 exons. The record is from RefSeq and is a predicted model, not a curated record. NCBI's taxonomy places the organism in Eukaryota, Metazoa, Chordata, Mammalia, Pilosa, Megalonychidae.